This 468-nucleotide ribosomal RNA is filed under the name uncultured bacterium. Its description in RNAcentral is "partial 16S ribosomal RNA". It matches the Rfam family "Bacterial small subunit ribosomal RNA", at positions 28 to 507 of the family's 1533-position model. The record is from RNAcentral.
GACGAACGCUGGCGGCGUGCUUAACACAUGCAAGUCGAACGGAAAGGCCCUGCUUUUGUGGGGUGCUCGAGUGGCGAACGGGUGAGUAACACGUGAGUAACCUGCCCUUGACUUUGGGAUAACUUCAGGAAACUGGGGCUAAUACCGGAUAGGAGCUCCUGCUGCAUGGUGGGGGUUGGAAAGUUUCGGCGGUUGGGGAUUGACUCGCGGCUUAUCAGCUUGUUGGUGGGGUAGUGGCUUACCAAGGCUUUGACAGGUUGCCGGCCUGGGCGGGGGACCGGCCCCGUCAGGCUUGGGCUGAGGCCCGGACCACAAUCGUACGGAAGGGUGGAGUAUGGUGUAUAAUGGGCUGGGCGCAAGUCCGACCACGCCGUGUCGCGGAAGUGGUGCUGCCGGUAGGGUUCUAAUUCCGCCUUUGCCGGGACGUUAGUGACGGUACUGGGUAAAGAAGCACCGGCUAACUACGUG